UAGGACCUGGCCGAACCAAAUAAAUAUUUAAAAAAAAUGAUUAGGGUCAUGUUCCUUUUUUGAUUUGUAAAAACAUUAAACAAAGGGAAAUCUAUCUAGUCACUCUUCUGCUUUCUGUAGUCAUUAUUUAUGAUUGAUGACACAAGCUUUUGGCAAGCACAGAUAGGGGAAAUUCAAGGUCAAAGAUAAUAUACUACCAUAAACAGGGACUCAUGCUUAUGGGCUAUGUUCAUGUGAUCAAGUUUCACUGGACUAAUCCUGCCUUUUUAUGACCUGUAUGGGGCCAGCAGAUAUUCUGAGAUAUGGCUCUGGCUUUGUUUCAAGUGCCUCUAUAGGUGAACUUUGAAAUUCUCCUAUGGCUUUAUGAAUUCUGCACUUAUGUUGUUCUUUGGGGGAGGGAGGUGGUAAAGGAGAUGCAGGAAUAAAGGGGAGACUUUGAUAUAAUGCAAUAACAAAUAGGGCUUAGGUGCCUCUCCAUAACUUGGCAUUCAAGGCCAAUACACUGGAGUUGUUUAGAAAAAAACGUAGUAGUUCCCAGGGAAGGGAAAUACAAUUUGAUGAAUAUAUAUGGGGAAGACCCUUCCCGUUGAUGGCUAUGAUGUUGUUCCACUCAUCCUCUAGGCCCUGGCCUCAUAUUCUUACUCCAAAUUGACUGGCAGAAAAGUGGUCAUAAUUGUUCGAAUAUAACCACACCAUGCUUUGGAUAUUUUAGCUGCCUUUCCUUGGCUUGUGUCCCUCUUGAGGUGCAGUAAUCAUAAGGAUACUUACACCAGUUUCAUUUCCAAAAAGUAUCAGGCUGAGUAAAUCAUAGGUUUACACAGGUUCUAGCCAGAACUGGCAAAAACUUUUGACUCCCAAAGUUCUGCCGUAUCAGUGUACUAAAAACAGUUCAGUAAAAUGAGGCAGUAGAGGUAGUGAGAAGAUAAGUCAGGCCAAUAAGAAAAGAGGAAAUGGAAAAGACCUUAAAAAUCACACACACAGAGUUCUCCCCAGACUAAAUGUGGCAGGUGAUAGGAGUUGAUAGGGCACUUGCUACAAUUGCAGGUUUAUAAAGACAGAACUCUGGAGAAUAACUGCCAAAACCCCACCACCAUCACUACCACUACCAUCAAAAAAAGUAAAAAAGAAAGAAAGAAAACUUAGAUUUUAUCCUUUUAAAACUCCUUCAAUAAAACUAAGGCUACCAUUUUCUCUUCUAACUUUGUGCCUUUGUUGAUAAUAAAAAUAAUUCCAAGGGAUCAUCUACAACAACAACAAAUUCUCACUUGCUUUUCUUUGUGUCAGUGGUUGGGUUGAGAUGAGAAAGAUGUUGAUAGACCUGGCAGAGAAUUAAUUUAGUGAUUACUUGCAGAUUUCAAUAUUAUUUUCUCUUUCUUCACCAUAUACCAAAGUGAGCUCUACUGUAAGCAGAUAGUGUAGGGAGUCCCCAGAGAAAAGAGCCAGAUAUAGCUUUUUGAUAUAAGAGAAGCCAUUUUAGGCCAAAGCCAUCUUGUCAUCUAAGCCUGGCUACCAUGCUUGCCCUUGAAAAGGUCUCAGUAAUAAUGACCUUAAGGGAACAUAAGAACAAAUGACUGUUUAUCAGGCAAGAGCAGUAACAACAGCAAAGAUAAUAAACCAGUUGCAGGAUUCCUUGAAAGCACUUUUUGUGGAAAGAAACCAACCUAUGCACAGUCUACAUAUUCAAAUAAUAAGCAGAGUCUAUGUGGCUGUAUUACUCAUACAUCAGACUAAUGGGAUGCAUCAAAAGUAACCAACUUCCAGAGACACAAAGGGGAAAACGACUUCAAACACUUACACUUAAAGGGCCUUCAUUUAUGAAUGGCCAAUGAUCUAGGCAAAUAAGAAAUGCUCCAUGGACUGACAAAUUUUUAGAAGAAUAAAAGAGCAGCUAUAAAUUAGUGAGAGUAGCUCUUUUACAUAGAAGUUCUUGGCUAAGAAUACCUAUUUUAGUAAAAAAAGACGAUAACUCAGGAGCUGCCCUGAGAAUCUCUUUCUAACUAUCCACAGAAAAGACAGAAAGCAAACCUGUGAUUCGAUUCUAAUCAGAAUAAGACGAAGAAAGGCUUUGCUUCCGGAUACUGGUUCAAGGUCACCCCCUUCUACCGUAAAUUUUAUCUUUCCCUAUGUCCACUCCACCUUAUUAAGCUGCUCAGGCUGAGCAAAGGAGAUGAGAAGCCUGUUUGUCUUGGAGGAACUGAUUACAUGGAGAAUUAUAUGUAUAAUAAUGGAGGGCUAUCAUUUUUAAGAGAAAGCAUGCUAAGGACAAACUCAAUUUUUUAAAUACCCACUUUCCAAUCUCUAAAUCAUCUGUGCCUUCCAGGCAAACAUGAAUGGACCAAGCUACUACAAUAUAAGAAACAGGAGGAUUGGUUCAAGAUGGCGGAGUAGAAAGACGUCACUCCCUCUUGUGAGAGCACUGGAAUCACAACUAACUGCUGAACAAUCAUCGACUGGAAGACACUGGAACUCACCAAAAAAGAUACCUCACAUCCAAAGACAAAGGAGAAGCCACAAUGAGACGGUUUUUCUGCUGAGCUACCACAAUGUAGUGUGUUUCUAGACCUAACUCCACAUGAAGGACAGGCCUCGAUUAAACAAGAAUGGCUGCUUAUUUUACAGCUGGAAAACUGAGCAUGUCUGGUGAGGAAGGCAAAAAGAAGAAUCAACAGCAGAGGCAAACUGGAACAAGGAGAGGAACGGACUUAAGAAUCAGAGACUCUUAAGAGUAUGGUAUAAAUUGUUACCUUUAGAGAAGUCAUUUAAUUUUAUUCACAUUCAGUCUAGAACAUUUAUUUUUCUCAAUUCAAAAUUGAGAUUAUAAUCAAAAGGAAAACUGGACUGAGGUCACUUAAAAUAAAAAAUUCUAUUUCCUACUGGGCUAAGUACAAACUUGUUAGCUUGGCCUUCAAGGUAUUUGACAAAUAUGGCCCUGGUCUCCUUUUCAACUUUAAUCCACUAUUUCCCUAUGUAUACUGUUUAAGAUAACAGUAAACUAUUAGCAAACUAUUGCACAGAACUCUCUUAACCAGUUUAACUGAUCACACAUUAGCUAGGCUAUUCUCCAGUAUCAUGGGAGCAACACUUCUGCUCUCCCUCUCAGUGAAAUUAUGUGCUUAUUGAGGGUAUCAGUUGUGUUUAUUCAGAAAACAAUUUAUGCCAAUUGUGUUUAUUAUUCUAAAUAUAUAACUUAAUAAAGUAUUACAUAAAGCAAUGAAGUAUAAAUGAGAAGAGGAAAACAACAUCAGCAGCUAAUAUUAACUGAGUACUUACUACCUGCCAGGCACUGUUCUAAGUGUUUUAUGUGAAUUAACUCAUAUAAUCUUCAUAAGAACCUUGGGAACUAGAUACUAUUAUUGUCCCUAUUUCACAAAGGAGGAGACUGAACAACAUGCCCAAAGCCUAUACAACUCAAAAUUGGCAAAACAAUUUGGCUCCAGAGCUUUAACUACUAUGCUAUACAAGUUGAAAGCUUAGGAAAGACUAGAUAAAGAUACACAUAACUAUGCUCCACUCGACCUUGUAUGUGAAAGUAGCCACAGAUAAUACAUAAACAAGUGAGCAAGGCUGUGUUCCAAUAAAACUUUAUUUACAGAAACAGGCAGCAGGCUAGGACAAGAUUUAGCCCUCACACUGUAGUUUGGAGAUCCCUGAGACCCACACUCCAAGAAAAGGCUUAUGUCAAAAGAAUGGCAAAAAGAUGUUUUAAGUUUUAAGUUAAAAUAAAAUGUUUAAG
Molecule: non-coding RNA, 3733 nt
Organism: Globicephala melas (long-finned pilot whale)
Lineage: Eukaryota; Metazoa; Chordata; Mammalia; Artiodactyla; Delphinidae
Source: RefSeq, a predicted model, not a curated record